Molecule: transfer RNA, 114 nt
Filed under: Acetatifactor sp.
Lineage: Bacteria; Bacillati; Bacillota; Clostridia; Lachnospirales; Lachnospiraceae
Description: tRNA-Ile
Rfam family: tRNA
About the family: Transfer RNA (tRNA) molecules are approximately 80 nucleotides in length.
Source: RNAcentral
GGUGAGGUAGCUCAGGGGUAGAGCGCGAAAAAAGGAAUCAUGUUUGUGAUUCUUGCAGCAAUUUUUUAACCACUGAUAAUGGCGAUGUCAACGGUUCGAAUCCGUUCCUCACCC